RNAcentral lists this small RNA (3955 nucleotides) under Pongo abelii (Sumatran orangutan). RNAcentral describes it as "retained intron". The record is from RNAcentral. Lineage: Eukaryota; Metazoa; Chordata; Mammalia; Primates; Hominidae.
GCCAUGCCCUGUAGCAGGAUUAAUCAUUUAUAAAAUAAAGUCCCUAUCCAUUACUUUCUUCACAUAACUUUUUUUAUGUGAAAUAGUGUUUUAUUGAAUUAAGUUCCAUAUCUGAGUUUGUUAGAUAACAUAUUGAUUUUAAAAUCUGAGUGUUAUAAUUUUUCAAACAAAUAAAGUUUGUCUUGGAGACCUUCAAAUUAGCUUUUCCUUUUUGCAAUAGCUGUUCAUAGUUUCAAGUUGAGUCGAAACCAUGUGGACUGGCACAGUGUGGAUGAAGUAUAUCUUUAUAGUGAUGCAACAACAUCUAAAAUUGCAAGAACAGUUACCCAAAAACUGGGAUUUUCUAAAGGUAAUUGUUAAAUAUUACUAGAGCUUAUCAAAAUUUUGGGAAUCUGACUUUUUCUCUUAUAUUCAAAAUAGACCAUUCAUAUUCUGUUUUUAGUAUGUUUUAAAUAUAUUAAAUUUAGUGACAGAUUCCUUUUUAAAUGAAACUUUUAUUAAGCUGAUCGAGUUGACAUGUGUUCAUCAAGGAAUAAUUAUAUAUUUAGAAUGAUUUGACAAAAUUAAUAAAUAUCUUUUAUACUUCUAAAAGCACAAAAGCUGUUAAACCUAAAAUGUGGCAGUUGAAAUAUAGUGUCAAGGAAGAUGAGGACUGAAAGUUUUCCAUUGUAUUUAGUGACCUGGAGGUCACUGGUGACUUAGAUGGAUUGAUGGGGCAGAAACCAGAUCGGCAUGGGUUGAAGCAUAAGUAGAAGGUGAAGCAAUGGAAGCAAUGAGAAUAGACAACUCUUUUUUUUUCUUCUUCUUCUUUUAUUUUUAAGAUGGGGUCUCACUCUGUCCCCCAGGCUGGAGUACAGUGGUGUGAUCAUAGCACAUCAUAACCUGGAACUAAUUCCUGGGCUCAAGCAAUCCUCCAAACUCAGCCUCCUCAGUAACUAGGAUUACUGGGAUGCAUCACCAUGCCCAGCUAGUUUAUUUUUUUGUAGAAACGGAGUCUCCUUACGUUGUCCAGGCUGGUCUCAAAUUUUUGGGCACAAGCCAUCCUCUUGCCUUGGUCUCCCAAAGCUCUGGGGUUACAGGCUUGACAUACAGUGCCUGGCCUGACAACUCCUUAGAGAAGUUUGACUAAAUGAAUGAAAAUAGAGAAUGAUACCUGGGGAAGAUGUGAGAGCAUUGUCAAAAAAUAAAUGUGAAAAGAAUUUUAAAGUUUGAUAAAAUUUUUAUAUCCUAUUUUAAAAUUUUAAUUUCAUCAAUAAGUGUGCUUUGAAUAUCUUUUUAUGUUUAUUAAUCAGUUAUAUUUAUUUUCUGAAUUACCUCCCAUAAAUUUAACUUAUUUUGCUAUUUGAAUGGUUGUCUUUACUUUUUAAUUAGUAAGCUCUCUUUGUAUACUUAAGUAAUUAUGUGUUAUAUUUUGCAUAUUUUUUUCCAGUUUGCCAUUUCUUUUUUCCUGAUAUUUUAUUAUUAUAAUAUAGAAGCUUUAAAUUUUUAUAUAUUCAGUUUGUCCUUCUUUCCUUCCAUUUCUUUCUCUUUAUGGUUUCUGGCUUUGGUGUUGUGUCCAGUUCACUUUAUAUCACAGCUGAUCAAUAUAUACCUUCUUACAAUUUUUAUUUCCUCCCCCACAGCCAGUGAAAUUUUUUCAUAAUAUUCCUUUUACUUCUUUUUUUUUUUUUUAACAUAUUGUGGGAAUGCUAUUUCUCAGAUUAAAUAGUAAACUUAGAAUUAUAAUUUUUCUACAGUAUCAAGUAGUGGGACCAGACUUCAUAGAGGUUAUGUAGAAGAAGCCACAUUAGAAGACAAGCCAUCACAGACUACCCAUAUUGUAUUUGUUGUGCAUGGCAUUGGGCAGAAAAUGGACCAAGGAAGAAUUAUCAAAAAUACAGCCAUGAUGAGAGAGGCUGCAAGAAAAAUAGAAGAAAGGCAUUUUUCCAACCAUGAAACACAUGUUGAAUUUCUGCCUGUUGAGUGGCGGUCAAAACUUACUCUUGAUGGAGACACUGUUGAUUCUAUUACUCCUGACAAAGUACGAGGUUUAAGGGAUAUGCUGAACAGCAGUGCAAUGGACAUAAUGUAUUAUACUAGUCCACUUUAUAGAGAUGAACUAGUUAAAGGCCUUCAGCAAGAGCUGAAUCGAUUAUAUUCCCUUUUCUGUUCUCGGAAUCCAGACUUUGAAGAAAAAGGGGGUAAAGUCUCAAUAGUGUCACAUUCCUUGGGAUGUGUAAUUACUUAUGACAUAAUGACUGGCUGGAAUCCAGUUCGACUCUAUGAACAGUUGCUGCAAAAGGAAGAAGAGUUGCCUGACGAACGAUGGAUGAGCUAUGAAGAACGACAUCUUCUUGAUGAACUCUAUAUAACAAAACGACGGCUGAAGGAAAUAGAAGAACGGCUGCAUGGAUUGAAAGCAUCAUCUAUGACACAAACACCUGCCUUAAGAUUUAAGGUUGAGAAUUUCUUCUGUAUGGGAUCCCCAUUAGCAGUUUUCUUGGCUUUGCGUGGCAUCCGCCCAGGAAAUACUGGAAGUCAAGACCAUAUUUUGCCUAGAGAGAUUUGUAACCGGUUACUAAAUAUUUUUCAUCCUACAGAUCCAGUGGCUUAUAGAUUAGAACCAUUAAUACUGAAACACUACAGCAACAUUUCACCUGUCCAGAUCCACUGGUACAAUACUUCAAAUCCUCUACCUUAUGAACAUAUGAAGCCAAGCUUUCUCAACCCAGCUAAAGAACCUACCUCAAUUUCAGAGAAUGAAGGCAUUUCAACCAUACCAAGCCCUGUGACCUCACCAGUCUUGUCCCGCCGACACUAUGGAGAAUCUAUAACAAAUAUAGGCAAAGCAAGCAUAUUAGGGGCUGCUAGCAUUGGAAAGGGACUUGGAGGAAUGUUGUUCUCAAGAUUUGGACGUUCAUCUACAACACAGUCAUCUGAAACAUCAAAAGACUCAAUGGAAGAUGAGAAGAAGCCAGUUGCCUCACCUUCUGCUACCACCGUAGGGACACAGACCCUUCCACAUAGCAGUUCUGGCUUCCUUGAUUCUGCAUUGGAGUUGGAUCACAGGAUUGAUUUUGAACUCAGAGAAGGCCUUGUGGAGAGCCGCUAUUGGUCAGCUGUCACGUCGCAUACUGCCUAUUGGUCAUCCUUGGAUGUUGCCCUUUUUCUUUUAACCUUCAUGUACAAACAUGAGCACGAUAACGAUGCAAAACCCAAUUUAGAUCCAAUCUGAACUCUUGAAGGACAUGAAUGGCCUAAAACUGAUUUUUUUUUUUUUCCUGUUAAAAUGUGUGUGUCAAGAUAUGGAAAUUUCAGGGUUAAAGUAUAUUUCAGUUUUCUUUAGGGCAACAGAUAUUUGAAUUUAAAAGCACUUUAUUUUAAAAAAAAGUUUUCAGUUCUGAAGAAGUCAUUUACAGUUUGCAUCAUUUUAAUUAUGAGUCUGACAAAACCUUCUCCAGAGAAUCAAGCAAGACCUGGAUGUGAAGAAGGUUUGGGUAAACUGCAUGUAAAGGCUACAAAUCACAAUCUGAUUCCUCCCAAAUAUAAAGGCAUAUGGAACAUAAUGUAUUAACCAAAGUAUGUUAUAAAUUAAAAAUGGUCAAGGUUCAGCAUAUUCUGUAUGAAGAUCUCAAGGUGGUAUCAUUGUUUUAGAUUUCUAUGAAGGCUUUCAUUUGUACAUCCCUUUGAAAAAAUAUAACAGAUUUAAAGUGUUUUGAAUUUAACUUGUUUAGAAAAACUAAUGCUUAAAACAAUAUUUGAACUACGGUAUUUAUAAUUUAUUACCUCUAAUUGCUUUAUUUCAGUGUAUGAGACAUUACUGUUUUAAUGUUUGCUUUGAACAUAAUUUAAGAACCAGAUUUAUUUUCUAUAGUGUUAAACCCUUUUUUCUCAGAACUCCAUCUUUGUACUCUUCAGAUGAAUAUACAGACACUGUGGCAUACAUUGUUUUUUCAUUAAAAACUUAUGGCUUCAU